CAACUUUUGAGCGAUUGGCGAUCUAGUCGUUAAAUUAAUUUAGUAGUGACUAGAACGAACACUCGCGCUCAAUAAUUGCAG
RNAcentral lists this microRNA precursor (81 nucleotides) under Phlebotomus papatasi. RNAcentral's name for it is "microRNA mir-286". It matches the Rfam family "mir-286 microRNA precursor family". Lineage: Eukaryota; Metazoa; Arthropoda; Insecta; Diptera; Psychodidae. The record is from RNAcentral.